GGAGGGUGCAAGCGUUGUCCGGAUUUAKUGGGUUUAAAGGGYGCGUAGGCGGCUUAUUAAGUCAGUKGWGAAAUCCUUCAGCUCAACKGUAGAAUUGCCAUUGAUACUGAUAAGCUUGAAUUCAGGCGAGGUAGGCGGAAUUGACGGUGUAGCGGUGAAAUGCAUAGAUAUGGUCAAGAACACCGAUUGCGAAGGCAGCUUACUAGACUGACAUUGACGCUGAGGCACGAAAGCGUGGGGAUCAAACAGGAUUAGAUACCCUGGUAGUCCACGCUGUAAACUAUGAUCACUSGAUGUGUGCGAUAUACAGUACGCGUCCAAGCGAAAGCGUUAAGUGAUCCACCUGGGGAGURCGGCCGCMMGGUUG
This 367-nucleotide ribosomal RNA is filed under the name uncultured Bacteroidota bacterium. RNAcentral describes it as "uncultured Bacteroidetes bacterium partial 16S ribosomal RNA". It matches the Rfam family "Bacterial small subunit ribosomal RNA", at positions 527 to 896 of the family's 1533-position model. Lineage: Bacteria; Pseudomonadati; Bacteroidota. The record is from RNAcentral.